UACGUAGGGGGCUAGCGUUGUCCGGAAUCAUUGGGCGUAAAGCGCGUGUAGGCGGCCCGAUAAGUCCGCUGUGAAAGUCCAGGGCUCAACCCUGGGAUGCCGGUGGAUACUGUCGGGCUCGAGUCCGGAAGAGGCGAGUGGAAUUCCUGGUGUAGCGGUGAAAUGCGUAGAUAUCAGGAGGAACACCGGUGGUGUAGACGGCUUUCUGGACCGUAACUGACGCUGAAACACGAAAGCGUGGGUAGCAAACAGG
RNAcentral lists this ribosomal RNA (253 nucleotides) under uncultured bacterium. RNAcentral describes it as "partial 16S ribosomal RNA". It matches the Rfam family "Bacterial small subunit ribosomal RNA", at positions 524 to 776 of the family's 1533-position model. The record is from RNAcentral.